RNAcentral lists this long non-coding RNA (21881 nucleotides) under Solanum tuberosum (potato). RNAcentral describes it as "long non-coding RNA (STUB_LNC010541)". Lineage: Eukaryota; Viridiplantae; Streptophyta; Magnoliopsida; Solanales; Solanaceae. The record is from RNAcentral.
UUUGCAAUUCGCUAAUUGUUUGAGGACAAUGUUUAUGUUGUUUCUGCUUUGGUAGACAUGUAUUCAAAAUCAGGAAUCAUUGAUUAUGCUGAAAGUGUUUUCUAAAAUCUCCUGAGAAGAACUCUGUGACAUAUACAAAUAUGAGUUUGGGAUAUGGCCUUCAUGGGAUGCGUAGGAAAGCUCUAAAACUGUUCUACUCUUUGCGGCAGAAUGGUUUAGAACCAGAUGCUGUUACCUUUGUGGCAGUCCUGUCUACUUGCAGCUACACCGGAUUGGUUGAUUAAGGCCUUCAAAUAUUUGAGCUGAUGGGUGAAGAAUAAGGGAUUCAGCCGUCAGCAGAGCACUAUGCUUGUGUGGUUGACAUGUUAGGAAGAGUUGGACGGUUGGAUGAAGCUCAUAAUUUUGCUAAACAGUUGGGUGUUGAGGGUAAUAACUUGGGAAUAUGGGGAUCACUCCUUGCAGCCUGCAGAGUGCAUAGAAAUUUUGAAUUGGGGAAAAUUGUUUCCAGUUAGCUGCUUGAAUUCGAGGGGAAUGAUGGAAUUUCUGGUUAUCAUGUUCUGCUUUCAAAUAUAUAUAUGCAGAGGAAGGAAACUGGCAGUCUGUAGAUAACGUCAGAAGAGGAAUGCGCAAAAUGGGAUUGUCAAAGGAGGUUGGGUGUAGUUGGAUUGAUACUUCUGGAUAUCCACACUGUUUUGUAUCUAAAGAUAAGAAGCUUCCUCAGUACUGCAUGAUAUAUGAUAUGUUGGGAUAUUUAACCAUCAAUAUGUAGGAUGCUGGCUAUAAACCUAAACUUGAACUAAUAGAAGAGUGGAUCUAUGGGCUAGAAGAAUGAAAAGCUAUUAGUUCUCCCACAAUGUUGUUGUUCUCCGACUAUGUACCUUUGUAUUCAUGACAUUUUUGGACAGGAUUUUGCUAGAGUUAAUAUGAUCGUAGUUUAUCAGUGACCAGCUGCCUUUGAAAUUCGAGGUAAUUAAGUUGUGUUUUAGCUUUUUUUAGUUUAGUUUUUUCUUCUGAAUUAUGCUUUUUUAGUUUGUAAAGAUACUCGGAAGUAGGAUAUUCAGUUAGUGAAAUGUAUGCAUAUUUCUUUAUUAAUACAGAGCAAUCAAGAAUAUCCAUUUUACCUUUUUGGUGGGAAAGGAGGAGUCCCAGGUAGCAAAAGAAUGGUCUUAUCCAAGGCGACAACUUCUAUCAUGCUGUCAGAUUGAGUGAAGCACAUUUAAAUUAGGUGACCAGUUCUUUCCUUUGAAUGACUUAUACUUGUUCUGCAGGUUGACUUUUAAACUAUUGUAUUAAGGAUAUUUGAUAUAGUGUUUGCAAGUUCAUGAGUGUUCUUAUAUUGGAGCCAAAUGGCAUUAAUAACACUUGUUAAGGUUGGUCCGGAUAACUAUUAAUAUGUCUGCUAAGGUUGGUUCAGCUAAUCAUAGUAUGUGAAUAUCAAUGGAACUGGCAUAAGUGGAGUUUUUCAUUUCUGAAAAUGGUUCUGAAGCUACAACAAAUCAUAUAGAUAAGAUAAUCUCUGAAAUUUUCCUUAUUAGGCUGUCGGCUUAUAUUAUUGGACAUUGACAAACAAAACUUUCUAUAAAUUAGGUCUAGUUCUAGUGAUUAGUAGGAGGUUUUAUUGAGUAAAUAUGUAUAUAUACUUUUGCCAACCAAUUAAGAUUCGAGUCCAUAUUAUCUUUGCUUGGUUUAUUAGGUUCCACAUGCUUGCUUUCAAGCUGCUUGUGUCAAUUUAAUGUGAAUUAUUGCCCUUCAGUUUUCACAAGGGACAAAGGGCGUAACGGCAUCUUAUUUUGGAGUUUUUGUCUUUUUGGAUAAGGUAAAUAAUUUUACUAAGAGUUAAUGGUCAAAAACACAUCCAAACUAUCACUUUUUGCGAGUUUCAUACCUCAACUAUCAUUGUUCGCUUUACCUACCUAAACUAUCACCCUUGUUGUAUUAUAACUCACCUUGGUGUUGGGUGGUUCAUUUGUGAACAUGUAGGGUAUAGAAUGGUUGUUUAUUAUCUUAAGAUAAUAUGCUUAAGUGAGUGAGAAACUGAUAAAGUCAUAUGGUACAUUAAUUCCGCUUGAUCCUAACAUUCGUAAUUUCUAAAUAUCUCUCGAUUAUCAAAAGGGGUUCCAUCAUCUUUCAUAAGAUGCACAUUGUGAACUAGUAGUGUACUACAGGGUUUGGCAUCCAAUUUUCCAGUUUCUACAAGUAGGUCAAGAAUGUACUUUCUGUGUGAUAGAAAAAUUUCCUUCUUUCUUCUAUUCACUUCUACUUCCAAAAAGUAUUUCAACUCGCCUAUGUCCUUCGUAUGAAACCUAGUAGUGCCAGUUGCAGAUAAUCGAUAGAAAACAAAGUGAUCACUAUGCUCAUUUUCAGCCCACACACCUAAACUACCUCACUAGACUUGCCAAACCAAUCUCAGGGACUCUGGUUUAAGCCAUACAAGGACUUUUGAAAUUUUAUUUUAGUAAAAAUGUAAGUCGUGCAAUCAAAUACAAGAAAUGAUAUAAACAUCAAUUCAAAUUAUUAAUGUCGUCCUCAAGAACUGUAUUGGACACUGACAUGUGUUCCUGUUCUGUCCAAGAAGCCCCUUUUCGCCAUUCUACAUCUACAAGAAAUGAUAUAAAUAUCAAUUCAGAUUAUUAAUUUUGGUUUUGCAUCUUAGGAUAAUUAGGCAAUGCGACAUAUUCAGACUCGAUAACAUUGAUAUCUUCAAUUAAUACAUUACAGUGAUCAUUAAUAUCAUCAGUCGAUUUCCCAAGAAGUGCUUUUGCCAUUUCCUCCAAUAGAUUGUUGUUAUCCUUGUUGAUCGCAAGAGUACUCUCAAAGAUUUUAUCCUCCUCCUUAGUCUAGAAGGAGUUAUUGCAUGUCCGAUCAUUGUUCAUUUUCUUUUAGAUCUACAAGGAAAGCUCAAACAUGAAAAAAGGUAAGCUCUUGAAGAGGAUUCAGAAAUCGGAUGAGUGUCAAUAUAUGACCAAAAACUACUAUAAAUAUCGGGCAUCUAAAAUAAGAUUUUUUGUAACCCCUAACACUUGGUAAUCAGAAACAAUCACAGCAAGGCACAUUCUAUUAAAUCAGUUAUGGAUACUAAGAAAAGUAAUGAGUGACUAGUAAAAGAAACAAACAUGAAGAUACAUGUGGUAUACUACCACAGAAGUCCCCAGAGAUGCGAAAUAUAUUAUGAAAGCAUUUGCAUUCUUUACCUUUUCUAUCGGACGAAAGGUUUUAUAAUAAGAAAGAAGAGUCCAAAGAAGAAAACUAUUUGUCUCAAGAUAAGAAAAAAAAUAUAUCAUUGAGUAUAUAUUUUUGUUUUUGUUAGUGAUGCAAAAAAAAGAUUUAUGGCCUUGUACCACAUAACGGGAAAGAAAUCAUGUCAAUCCAACAUAUGCUAUCAAAAAAAGGGAAAACCCAGAUUCCCUUGUAACACAAUCUAACCACUAAUAACUAGGGAAUGUGCUAAGACAAAAUAUAUCCUGGGCAAGAAAUCAAAAGAAAAGCUAUACAAAUUCUUGUUUUUCCUUUUUGAGAAACUCAAAUCUCUACACAUUAAUUUUCAGCAAUGGAAACCAUAUUAAAGAAGAGUCCCUAGAAAGUGGUGACACAAUUUCUCUCUCCUGAGAUAGAAACAAGAUGAAUCUCACGAUAAUUCAAGUAGGUCAGUAUCACUUUGCAUCUCUUCAGAAUCUACACCAAAAACAAUAUAUAAAUCAACCAUUUGUGAUUGAGUGCACAUUCUCUUUUGUCGUCAUUAUCUUUAUACAUCAUGAAAUAGCAAAUUAUUGAUCAUUUGAAUGGAAGAUUUACAGAACCAACAAGCAAUAACAUACGAAGUGUAAUCCCAUAAGUGAGUCUGGGAGGGUAGUGUGUACCUAGACCUUACCCCUACCUUGAGAGGUAGAGAGGCUAUUUUCGAUACACAUUUGACUCAACGAAAAACAUAUAGAGUGGAUUCGAUAAAGGGAAGGUUUACAAAACCAACAACAACAUCAUAUUCAGUGAAAUCUCACAAGUGAGGUAUGGGAAGGGUAGAGUGCCUAUAAACCUUACCCUACCUUGGGAAGUAGAGAGGUCAUUUCUGGCUGAUCCUUAACUCAAGGAAAAACAUAUCAAAGCAAAUCGAAAAAGGAAAGCUUUAUAGAACCAUGACAUAAAAUCUUAAAGGGAAAGAUAUGAACGAUCUUACUUUUUCCCUUCAAAGAACUAAUCAUAUCUCUAAAAAUUAACUUUCCUAAAUACAAAGCAUGUUAAAGAAGAGUACCAAAAAACGUCAGCACAACUAGCAGAACCUGAUGAUCACAAAGCACAAUCAAAACAAACUUCUGAGUGAAUCAAUCUACAGUUAUAAGUUUUAUCACCUAUGAAAACAAGCAUUCAACCAAAAAGGAAUCAGACACAUAUAUGUACUUAUAACUGAGAUAGAUUCGUCUUUGGUUGAAUGCUUGUUUUCAUAGGUGAUACAACUUAUAACGGUAGAUUGAUUCACUCAGAAGUUUGUUUUGAAUGUGCUUUGUGAUCAUCAGGUUCUGCUAGUUCUGCUAACGUUUUUUGGUACUUUUCUUUAACAUGCUUUGUGUUUAGGAAAGUUAAUUUUUAGAGUUAUGAUUAAUUCUUUGAAGGGAAAAAACAAGAUCUUUCAUGUCUUUCCUUUAAGAUUUUUUGUAAAGCUUUCCUUUUUCGAUAUGUUUUUCCUUGAGUUGAGGGUCAGUUAGAAAUGAACUCUCUGCCUCCCAAGGUGCGGUAAAGGUCUAUAAACACUCUACCCUCCCCAUACCUCACUUGUGGGAUUUCACUGGACAUGAUGUUGUUGUUGGUUUUGUAAAUCUUCCCUUUCUCGAUCCACUUUAUAUGUUUUCCUUGAUCCAAGUGUGAAUUGAAAAUAGCAUUUCUACCUCUCAAGGUAGGGGUAAGGUCUACGUACACUCUACCGUCCCCAGACUCACUUGUGGGAUUACACUUGGUAUGUUGUUGGUUCUGUAAAACUUCCAUUCAAAUGAUUAAUAAUUUGUUAUUUCAUGAUGUAUAAAGAUAAUGACGACACAAGAGAAUGUGCAGUCAACCACAAAUGGUUGAUUUAUAUAUUGUUUUUGCUGUAGAUUCUGAAGAUAUGCAAAGUGAUACUGACCUACUUGAAUAUCAUGAGAUUCAUCUUGUUUUUAUCUCUGGAGAGAAAAAUUGUGUCAACAUUUUCUAGGGACUCUUCUUUAACAUGAUUUCCAUUGUUGAAAAUUAAUGUGUAGUAAUUUGAGUGUUUCUCAAAAAGGAAAAGCAAGAAUUUGUAUAGCUUUCCUUUUGAUUUCUUGUCCUGGAUAUAUUUUGUCUUAACAUUCCCUAGUUUUAAGUGGUUAGUUUGUGUUACAAGGGAAUAUAGGUUUUUUCUUUUGAUAACAUAUGUUGGAUUGACAGGAUUUCUUUUCCAUUAUGUGCCAUAGAUUAUUUUUUUUGCAUCACUAACAAGAACAAAAAUAUAUACUCAAUGAUAUAAUUUUUUCUUAUCUUGAGAUGAAUAGUUUUCUUCUUUGUACUCUUUUUUUGAGAUAAAAUCAUACACAAAAUGGUGGGGUACGCCAGGCCAAUGCAGUAGUGCAACGCAAGAGCCCAGGCAACAAACUACCUUAAUGGACUCUUCCCCUUAAAAAUUAAGUUAAUAUCGUGUGGACCAAUGGCCCACAUAUCAGAUAUUAAACUGAUAAGAACAGAUACUACACUUGAUCUUAGCCAAAAGGCCGAGAAAGGUAUUCUUCUUUCUUAUUAUAAAACCUUCCGUCCGAUAGAAAAGGUAAAGAAUGCAAAUGCUUUCAUAAUAUGCUUCGUAUCUCUGGGGACUUUUGUGGUAGUAUACCACAUGUUUGUUCCUUUUACUAGUCAUUCAUUACUUUUCUUAAUAUCCAUAACUGAUUUAAAAGAAUGUGACUUGCCACGAUUGUUUCUGAUUACUAAGUGUCAGGGGUUACAAAAAAUCUUAUUUUAUAUGCCCGAUAUUUAUAGUAGUUUUUUGUCAUAUAUUAACACUCAUCCAUUUUCUGAAUCCUCUUCAAGAGCUUACCUUUUCUUUUUUUUUUGAUGACAAGGGAAACCCUCAGCUGCUACCCUUUGGGUGCGCACAGGGUAAAACCCCCACUCCUAUGCAAUAGCUCGCAAACCACAUAGGAGAUGUAACCCGCACUAGGCAAGCCCGGUGCGACGAGCUCGACCCAGAAGGCAAACCCCUUGCUUUCGCUGGCAAGGGGUUUCGAACUUGAGACCUCCAACAUGGAAGUCCCAAACCACUGGGCCACCCCGAAGAGUCUUACCUUUUUCAUGUUUGAGCUUCCCUUGUAGAUUGGAAAAUGAACACCGAUCGGACAUGCAAUAGCUCCUUCUGGACUAAGGAAGAGGAUAAAAUCUUUGAGAAUACUCUUGCGACCAACGAGGAUAACAACAAUCUAUUGGAGGAAAUGGCAAAAGCACUUCCUGGGAAAUCACUAUAAUAUCUUAAUUGAAGAUAUCAAUGUCAUCGAGUCUGGAUAUGUCCCAUUACCUAAUUAUCUUGAAAUGCAUAACCAGAAUUCAAAAGCACAUGUAGAAUGGCUAAAAGGGGCAUCUUGGACAGAACAAGAACACAGGUUCUGAUUCCAGUACAGUUCUUGAGGACGACAUUAAUAAUCUGAAUUGAUGUUUAUAUCAUUUCUUGUAAUUGAUUGCACGACUUACAUUUUUACUAAAACGGAAUUUCAAAAUUUCUUAUUUCUCAAUGACCACAUUGGUGUGCUUCUAAAUAUCUCAUAUAUUAUUAUAUUUCUAGGUGAUAGAGUACAUCUUCAUAGGUGUAUUUGGUCUUAACUGCAUUACCAAUAUAAUACAAAAUAUUAAUUCUGAGUUCCACAGUAUUUUCCGAUCAAAUUUGUAGGCUUUUAAUUGUCAAUGGCUAGGCUUGCUUUCAUGGGAAGUAGACUGACUCUUCUUCAUAUACAUCAAACGAUUCAUGAAACUGUAACCACUCCACUUGUUGAUUGCAGGUUAGGUCUCCUCAGAUGAGGCUCUAUAUCUAAAAUGUCAACUCAGCCUGGGGUAUAACAACUGUGUGUGCCCGCUGAACUUAAUUUCUUUGUCAAAAUGAAUGGAAACUUGAGACCAAGAGGCCGAGUUUGAUAGAAAUUUGUUCAACUUACAAAGCCAUGCCAAAUAUAAAUUGUGGCAAAGCAAAUCUAUUUUUGAGUGCUUCAGUUGUCUUGACUCUCUUGCAACUUUCAGUUCAAGAAUCAGACAUCCUGUAUAUUCUAGCGACACCAAAUUUGGAGCAUCAAUCUUCCUUGUGCCACCCGAAUCGUCCUUAAUCUUCAAGACGUUUUGGAAUUGAGAUCUAGAAAUAAGGUGCUCGAGAUUCCAUCACAUGUCCACAUGAGGUGAUAUGAUAUAUCUAAAGAUUUCAGAUUCUAACAUUCAAUAACAUCCAAAUUGUCCGGUGAAGAACUAGAAUAAUAUAAGUGUUCAAGAUUGAUGCUUUAACACCCUGGUUUCUUGUUGUACAAAUAGAAACUGACUUGAUCUUUUGAAGAUUUAGCAGCUCAAUCUUUUUCAACCUUCUGUAACAAUGCUCAAGUGUGAGUUAGUGAUUGACUUCCAUCUCCAACUACUUUCUUAGAAGGCUUUACAUUUGAGUGAGGAGCACUAAAAGUAUUUUUGACCUCCAUCACCUGACAAAAAAGUAACAGCAUCGCAAAAAAGAUCGCGUUGAAGUUGGUUAUAAGUGAAUUUCGUCAUCUGAAUAGCUAAAUAAUCAUUUGGCAAAGGUAGUUCUUAAAUGUUUACUUCUUUUUCCUUCUAUCUUUGUAUACAUUCUUUGUUUCCGGGCAGGGGGUGAAGGACAUAAGAGAAGAUUUUCCUAUAGGUAAGGAAGAGGUGAAAAUGGAGCAUUAGUCACUGAGCCCAUGGACGAAGAUAAUGAUAUCAGUUCCAUUUUUUAUGUUGGGAAAGCACCAACUGCUCAUAGAGGAAUGUCUGGUUAUAUAUGCAGCUGCAGGGGAGGCUCCUGCUUAGUCACAUCCCUUUGCCCCCUCAGCUAAACUCCCGUUGACGAUGAAGACUUUUUUUAUCUGCAUGACUUGUUCACAGAUCAGACGUUCUGAUUUGGUGGAGGAAAAGCUGUUCAUGUUGAUAUUAGUUGCUCACAACCAGAUAGGUUGUUAACGUUGAUACUGCACUUAGGUUUUUGCAGACUUAUUACAUUAUGUUAGACAGUAUUGCUAUUCUUUAACGUAUGUUUAUCAAUUAAAUGAUCAAAAUGGUCCUUAAUGUAUGGGGUUGAACUAUUUUAGUCAUUCAUAUAUACCUCGUAAUCAUAGUAAAAGUGACCCUUUUCCUACAGCCACCACCCUUAAUGUAUCACUUUUUUUGUACAUUAAGGACUACUUCGAUUACAUGGUAUAUAUGGACUAAAAGGAUUACUUUUCUGUACAUUAAGGACUAUUUCUGUUUGAACACCCCCUUCUGACAUAUUAUGUGAACUCCUUGUCUUGUGAAAGUAAUUGCCAAUGUGGUUUUUAGUUGUUGCAGCAAAUAUAUUUCUGGUAAUUCACAGCAAAGUUCACAUUGAAAACAAAACACUGAGAGAGUGUCCAUGAACAUCCCUUUGCCAUCUGAAGCAAGUAAAAGGCGUAUAGAUACCACUAGUUCUAUGAGUUCAACUGAACUUAUUGUCUUCGACUCAACCUAAACAAAAGAAAGAAAAUGCAUGCAUACGUAUAAUAAGAUCACAGUCAUUCUGAACUCAUUAACUGGUUAUUAUUGUCUAACUUUGAAAUAUGCGCUUUGCUAGUUAUCUCAAAUCUUGUCAUCAGUAUCACCUUCAAUUGGAGCUGCUACAUUUAUGUAUAGCUUCUGGCCAUUGAUGCAACUACCAUAAUUGCCGGAUUUGAAGAAAUAAUCUCCAGGUACCAACAUGAAUGCUAUUGCUGGACUAUCUUUGUGCUGCUUUGAAGGAGUGCUGGAAUUGCAUGCAUAAUAGUUGUAUUUUCCAAUCUCCAACAAAUCCUCUGGCUUUUGGAAUCUAAAUUCUACAAAUAAAAUGGUACCAAAACAUAUUAAUGCUUGUAAAAUUAGAUACAAUAUGUAUAUAGGUACACGAAAAAUAACUUUCUAAAAGAUAAAUAAAGUUAUGAACCAUAUUCAAAGGGAGUGAAUUGACACCCCUUGCCAGAAAAACCAACACUUUUAUUGAUUUGAUUUGGUUUAUGAAGUUAUAAAACCGACAUAGCUGGUUUGAUUUGGUAAAUGAAAAAAUCGAACUAAAGAACCAUCUAUAUGUACACCCCUAAAAUUAGUUAGUACCUUUAUAUCCUUUCAAACAUAGCUAAAGAAAGACUUCAGGCCAAAUUAGAUAUGAGGAAAGGAUGAAAUGACAAGAAGAGUGCUUGGUGAGGAGACAACACGAGGAGGAAAUUCUCGCGACUAAGGAAGCACGUCCCUUAAAGGGAAAGCCAGAGAAGGAGCCUGCUGGACAGCCUCACCUUCUGCUCCCAAAUUAGCAUAUCCAAAUUAUGAGAAAGCCUAUAGACGCUGCAAUUGCAGAAUUUGCACCUUGCAAAUGUCUAUUUGUUCAAGUAUGUAAAUAAAUUGCACACACGAUUCAAUUAAUAAUGGAAAAUUGUAUAAAAUAGCAAAUUAUUAAUUCAAAAUAAAUGUUAUAACCAUAGUUUCAAUUAAUUUUGAUUUGUGGCAAACACUUUGCCAUUCGCCUCUCUCCCUUUAAUCUCGCUCGCCGCUCUCCCUCGCCUCUCUCACUUUAUACAAACACAAAUGUAUAAAUUGUGUUGGUGUUUGCAGUGGCGUACGCAUGAUUUUUUCUAAGCGGUGUCACAAUUAAAGAGACAAAAAUGGCUCAAGAAGAAAAUCAAUGAAAGUUUUGUUUUAGACCUCCAAAAAUUUGAGGCCUCUUUUAAUUAGAUAAUAUUUUAAAAUUUUAAAUUAAACCAUUCACAUCUUCAUAUUAUUAAAUAAAGUUUGAUUCAUUAUCUUGUUCUUCCAAGUCAGUUGUAGCUUGAGUCGUUAAAAUUGGCUUUGAACAUUUUUUAUUUUUUUUAGAAUAAUACUCUCCAUUAAAAAUUUAGACUAAUAUGAUGUGAUCUGCCCAAUAAAUAAUUGAGGAUCAAAUAAUAGAGGAUUGCGGACAAUUUUAAUCAAUUUAAUGAAUUCUAAAUUAUUUCAUUGUAACAAGUAGAUGGUAAAAAUUAAAAUUAAUUUUAUGAACAAAUAAAAAUAAAAAUUCAAGCACAUAAUAAAAAAAAUAGAAUAGCAAGAAAAUACUAACCUGAUGUGGAGAUUCGAGAUGUCGAUUAACAAUGAUUGAUGAACAAGAAUGGAAAGAAAAUUGAACAAACUCACACAAGUCAGAAAUAUACAAAUACAAGGAUUUAAGGAGUCAACACUAUUUUUAUUUAACUAUAAUCCUAAUUGAUAAAGGAGAUUUUGAGUUUUAUAUUAAUUCUAAAAAUAAAUAAAAAGUUGUUAGAUUUUGAAUGAAUUAGAGUGGGUGUGUAGGUUUUUAAUGAAGGGGCUAUUGUUUUGAAUUUUAAACAAAAAAUUAAUAAUUUUAAGAAAAGAAAAAAUUAAAACAUGAAUAAAACAAACAAAAAAAUGAAUAAAACAAACAAAAAACAUGAAUAAAAAAGAGAGAAAAAACAACCCCGGGGAAUCGAACCCGUGAUGUUUCGCACAUUAUGUUGUGCCUCUACCAUCUGAGCUAGGCGCAACCUGUUACAAGGGGAGUCCUUUCAAUUGUUUUAACCUUUAGUUGUUUUUUUGUUUGUUUUUUAUAUAGGUAUAUUCGGUAAAAAAAUUCGACGAAGCCGUGUCACUUGACACACCUUAGAUAUGCCUAAAUCCGCCUCUGGGUGUUUGUAUAAAGCGAGAGAAAACUGUAUAUACAAAUUUAAAUACAUGUCUCUUCGUCCUAUACACUUAUAAUUAUAUAAAUAUAAAUCUUCUCCUGCCCAGUUCGCGUUUGUCUUUCUUUCUUUCUCGCUUUAUACAAAAUACAAUGCAUAAUUUGUGUUUGUAUAAAACGAGAGAGAUUUGAUAUACAAAUAUAAUUGACGUUAUUAUAUUUGCAUUUAUGAAAAUAUUUAUCUCACAAAAAUUAGCUAUUAAGUAAAUAAUAAAAAUUAAACUAAUACAAACUUCAACUGACGUUAUUACAAGUCAUAUGAACUUUUCUUUGUCUAAAAUACUGAAAUAUUAAAAAAUAGUUAAUAAGUAAAACAAAAGGGUAAUGUUUAUAUAAUAAUAACUAUUCUGAAGCAAACUUCCUAACAAUCUAAAUCACACAAGUAACAUUGAUAAAUAAAGUUAUUCUUUUGUCUUAAGCAUAAAAAAAAUCGUGACAAUUCUCUAAAUUUUGAAAAAAGAUAUUCAGAAGCAUAUAUCUACAUCACAAGAGAAAUUGUUAACAAAAAUAAAUGAAUUUAGACUACAUCAUGUUAACUUCAUCUAUUGGAACAUUACAUACUAAUGUAUAUAUUAAGCAAAAAAAUAAUUAUUAUAUCAUCAAAAUUAUUUUCCUCAAGUACUCAAGGUUAUGGAAUAUACCCUUUUAGGAUAGAAGGACUUACUUCAUCAGAAUAAUGAUACUUCAUAUUCCGCUAAACUUCGAACUCAUCCAAUGACAAUAAAUCACACAAAAAAAAUUAUAAUGCAAGAAGAAGAGUAGAAGAUUAAAAAAAAUUGUUCAUCAGAAUAGUGGUUGACUAUAUAUUAUCUCUAUUUAUAGUUAACAAAGGAUAGUAUGAACAAAUAUUUUUUGUAUCUUAUCUGAAAAGUCAUGACAUUUCCGAGAAUUCACAACCCUUUGGAAAAGUCACAAUUUAUUGAAAAAGUCACAACUCUUUGGAAAAGCCACAACUCAUCGAAAAAUCACAACCCUUUGAAAAAAGUUACAACUUAUCGGAAAAGUCACAACUCAACAAAAAAGUCACAACCUAAGUUAGGGAUAUUAUAGUAAUUCAACAUUCAAGUUAUGAGUUCAUGUUUUUAAGGUAAUAUAGAUAUAAAAAAGAUAUAGAUAUAGAUAUAGAUAUAAAUAGAUAUAGAUUAAUUAAUUUAUAUAAAAAAAACAAUUACUCCAUCUGUUUCAAAAAGAAUGACCAAAUUUCCUUUUUAGUCUGUUUCAAAAAGAAUAACCAAAUUUCCUUUUUAGUCUGUUUCAAAAAGAAUGAUCCAUUUCCUUUUUUUGUAACACUUUAACUUUCCACGUGAUAUGUUUAAAACCACAAAAUUAAAGGACAUUUUAGUACAUUUAACAUAACUUUGAUUUAGAACCACUAGAUUAAAAAGUCAAACUAGGUCAUGAAGACUACUUGUUAGGUUAAAACUGAAAAAACAAAUUGAAAUAUUGAAGAGAAUGAGUAUUUGUACGACAAAACCAUUGUCUUCUUUCUCUUCCUUCAACUUUCUCACAGUCUCCAUCUUUGAGCUUAACCCAUCUCCCAAAUUAAUCUUCUCUACCCCUCACCGACCAAGAAUGCACUCUUACAGACUCAAAAUCCAGAACAAUUGGCUUUUGUUUAAGCGAAUCGUGAAGACAAGGCCAACCCCAUCUCGCCCGCCAACUGUUCGUUACAAUUCCUCAACCAUCAACUGUCCUUUGGAACACAAUAAUAGUUGGGUUUAUUUGUAAUAACAUGCCCCAUGAAGCCAUUUCAUUCUAUUCUCGAUUGAAACAUGUGGGUUCGUCCGUAUGUGAUCAGUAUACUUAUUCCUCUGUUCUCAAGGCUUGCACGGAGACCAAACGGAUUCUUGUAGGUAAAUCUGUGCAUUGCCACAUUCUGCGUUCUGGGAUUCAUACUAGUAGGAUUUUUAGUAAUUUUUUGUUGAAUAUAUACUCUGCUACUUGUCUUACAUCGGAUAAUGGUACUGAUUGUGAUUUAGUUUAAAGGGUGUUUAGAACUAUGCGUAAAAGAAAUGUUGUUGCAUAGAAUUCUAUUUUUUCAUGGUAUGUGAGAAGGAAGAGGUUUAUGGAAUCAGUGAGGUGUUUUGUUAAGAUGAUGAGAUUAGGCAUUAAGCCAACUGUUGUUAGUUUUAUACUUUUAUUAAUGUUUUUCCUGCUGUAUCAGAAAUAGGGGAUGUUAGAGUUGCUGAUGUUCUUUAUGGAUUGCUUGCGAAAUUGGGUAAUGCAUGUGUAAAUGACUUGUUUGUUGUUAGUGCUGCCAUUGUUAUGUAUGCUGAGCUUGGUUGCGUUGAUUUGGUGACCAGAAUAUUUGAGAAUACUUGUGAAAGAAAUACAGAGAUCUGGAACUCUAUGAUUAGCGGGUACAUUUAGAACAAUUUUCCUUUAAAAGCUGUUGAUCUCUUUCUUUAAGCUGUAGAAGCAGAGGAUGCUGUUACUACUGAUGAUGUGACAUUUGUAUCCGCUCUUAUGGCAACUUCACAAUUGCAGCAUUUGGAGUUUGCCCAAUAGCUACAUGCAUGUCUGAUAAAGAAAUGCAGGGAUUCACAGGUUAUUUCGCUUAAUGCUAUGAUAGCCACAUAUUCUAGGUGUAACCAUGUUCUACUCUUUGCAGCAGAAUGGUUUAGAACCAGAUGCUGUUACCUUUGUAGCAGUCCUGUCUACUUUCAGCUACACCGGAUUGGCUGAUACAGGCCUUAAAUAUUUGAGCUGAUGGGUGAAGAAUACGGGAUUCAGCCAUCAGCAGAGCACUAUGCUUGUGUGGUUGACAUGUUAGGGAGAGUUGGACGGUUGGAUGAAGCUCAUAAUUUUUCUUAACAUUUGGGUGUUGAGGGUAAUGUCUUGGGAAGAUGGGGAUCACUCCUUGCAGCCUGCAGAGUGCAUAUAAAUUUUGAAUUGGGGAAAAUUGUUUCCAGUAAGCUGCUUGAAUUAGAGGGGAGUGAUGGAAUUUAUGGUUAUCAUAUUCUGCUUUCAAAUAUAUAUGCAGAGGUAGGAAACUGGCAGUCUGUCGAUAGCGUCAGAAGAGGAAUGCGCAAAAUGAGAUUGUCACAGGAGGUUGGCUGUAGUUGGAUUGAUACUUCUGGAUAUCCACACUGUUUUGUAUCUAAAGAUAAGAAACAUCCUCAGUACUGCAUGAUAUAUGAUAUGUUGGCAUAUUUAACCAUCAAUAUGUAGGAUGCUGGCUAUAAGCCUAAACUUGAACUAAUAGAAGAGUGGAUCUAUGGGCUAGAAGAAUAAAAAGCUAUUAGUUCUCCCACUAUGUACCUUUGUAUUCAUGAUAUUUUGGACAGGAUUUUGCUAGAGUUCAUAUGAUUGUAGUUUAUCAAUGACCAGCUGCCUUUGAAAUUCGAGGUAAUUAAGUUGUGUUUUAGCUUUUUUUAGUUUAGUUUUUUCUUCUGAAUUAUGCUUUUUUACUUUGUAAAGAUACUCAGAAGUAGGAUAUUCAGUUAGUGAAAUGUAUGUAUAUUUCUUUAUUAAUACAGAUCAGUCAAGAAUAUCCAUUUUACCUUUUUGGUGGGAAACGAGGAGUCCCAGAUCGCAAAAGAAGGGUCUUAUCCAAAAUGACAACUUCUAUCAAGCUGUCUGAUUGACUGAAGCACAUGUAAAUUAGGUGACCAGUUCUUUCCUUUGAAUAACUUAUACUUGUCCUGCAGGUCGACUUUUAAACUGUUGUAUUAAGGAUUUUCUUUGAUAUAGUGUUUGCAAGUUCAUGCGUGUUUUUAUAUUGGAGCCAAAUGGCAUUAAUAACACUUGUUAAGGUUGGUCCAGAUAACUAUUAAUAUGUCUGCUAAGGUUGGUUCAAUUCGUGGGAUAUUAUAGUUCAUCUUUCAAUAGCAUGAUUUCACUAUAUAGACCCUUUUGUUGUGUAUUUUUCAUAUUGGCUUAUCAAACCUCUAAGAAGUACUUCAGAAAUCAUUAAGAACCCCUAAUAGUUUGGCAACCUCCUCAAUUUCCCAAUCAUUCAAUGCGCUCCUAAAAAGUAGAUUCCAACCGUGUUGACUCCAGGCUUGUUCCACAGUGUCAUUGUUCUGCAUACUCAAUGUAUAUAGAAGAGGGAAUAGGUUUCUCAAAGUGUCUUCCUCUAUCUAUCUUUCAUUCAAGAACUCUGUCUUCCGUCGAUCCCCAACACUAAUACAUAUGUUGUUUUUGAAAUGUGGCCAUAGUCUUCUAAUGGUCUUCCAAACACUGCAUCCAAAUGUGCCCAUCACCUCUUCAGUUGUCCAUUGGUUAAAUAAACCAUACUUUCCUGAUAUAAAUCUCUUCUAUAAGGCUCUAUAUUCUAUACAGAAUGUCCAUAGCCACUUUUGGAGUAAACUACUGUUUUAGAGACUUAGGUCCUUCAACCCUAGCCUCCUUGGUUUUUGCUAAGUGUGAGAGUAUCCCACUUCACCAAGUUGUAGCCUUCCCUUUCUUUGUUGCCUUGCCAUAGAAAAGAUCUCCUGAGCCUAUUUAUUUUCUUCUCAAUGUUCUUGGGGACUGGAAAUAAACUCGUCAUAUAAGAAGGUGAUUCAUCUAAUAUUGACUUGAUGAGGGUCACCCUGCCACCUAGAGACAAAUACUAGCUUCUUCACCGGGCUUAUUUCGUCCCACAUCUAUCCAACACCACAUUGAAGACUUCCAACUCUUUGUUCUUAGCACCCAAAGGUAGUUCCAAAUAUUUUGUUGGUUGUGCAUCUACCUAGCAACUCAAUGUCUCAACUAGCCCAAGAAAAUUGUCAACUUGCUUGAUAGGGAGGAAAUGACUCUUCAGCCAAUUGACAUGGAGGCUUGAAAUGCUCUACUAAAUAGUGAGUAUAGCUCUUAUGUGUCUAAUUUGUGCCUCCUUUACCUCAUAGAAUAUAAGAGCAUCAUCAACAUAGAAUAAGUGUGUGAUCUCCAGCUCCUUCCCUCUCCCAGCAAGUGCACUAAAUCCUCUCCCACCCAUUUAGUCUUUGACUUCCGGAACAUGUGAUUCAACCCCUUCAUGGCUAUUAAGAAUAGGAAUAGGGACAUAGGAUCUCCCUGUCUAAGACUUUUCUGAGAUUGGAAGAAUCCUUCAGUGUUUCCAUUUAUGAGGAGGGAAAACUUCACACUUGAAAUGCAGUUAUUGAUCUAGUCAAUCCACUUGCUACCAAAUCCCAUGUCCUUUAGUAUUUUUAGAAGGAAAUUCCAAUUAACAUGUUCAUAGGUUUUCUCAGUGUCUAGCUUGCACAGAAUCCUAGGUUUUUUCUGCCUUACCUUGGAGUUGACCAUUUCAUUAGCCAACAAUGCUGCAUCCAUUAUUUGCCUAUAUCUUAAAAAAGCCAUUUGGUGUUCAUCAACCAAUUUCACUAUCACUUUCUUUAUUCUCUCAGUUAGCAACUUGGAGAUGAUUUUAUAGACUACUCCUAUCAAACUGAUAGGUCUAAAGUCUUUUAGCUCAAUUGAAUCAGGUUUCUUUGGGAUUGAAGCGAUCAAUGUAGCAUUAAAUGAUUUCUCAAACGCACUCCUCUGAUGGAAAUUUUUUGUACUCAACAUUCAGUUCUCUUUCAAAAUAUCCCAACAUUUCUUAAAGAAAAUCCAUAGUGAAGUCAUCAGGGUCUGGUGCUUUGUCCCCGUCAUACUGGUUGAUGAUCAAUAACACUUCCUCUUCUGUAAAUGGUCUUUGUAACCAUUCAUUUUCUUCUAUAGACUUUUGGACAUCCUACAAAAUGAAAAGAGGGUCUCCAGGAUUCAAGUUCUGAGUAGAGUCUGGCAUUUAAUACAUAUGACAUGGUAAUAGAGGAGGUUGCUUUAAUGGUUCCAAAUCCCACAAUGUUAUGUGUUGAGCCAUCAACUACCAUUACUUGAGAGGGUUCUUUGUGGGAUCGAAAGGUAGAAAAUAUAUUAGGAUUACGUGUCAUGUAAUUACUAGUACCUGUAUCAAUCACCCAGUUGUUCAAAGAGGAGAUCGCAUAUGCUUUUCUUGAAUCAACAAGGGUAGUAAUUGAAAUGAAUUCUUUAAGGGAUUCUUGAUACUAAGAGGACUCGCAAACUCAUUCGCCGAAACCAAAAUUGUCUUACCCUCAUAAUUUAUAGCCAUAUUUCCUCCUUUCUAAUUGUUUGAGUUAUAGUUUCAACUCAAAAUAUUAUUAUAGGAGAGGCUAACAAACACAAACAAUACCAACAUAUACAAUCCAGUAUUGAAAAGGCAAUUUGUUAAUAUCAAGACAUGCAAAAUUUUAUGGGAUUAAGUCCAUACAAAAUUUGAACGAAGUUGUACAGUUAAGACAUAUUGACCCAAGUGAACAUUUUGGGUUAAUACAACCGGAUUAAUUAUUUUAGUCAAGAUUGCGUGACUUAAGUCAAAUCCAACUACAUUGGGCUAGGUUGGGCUUCUACAAAAUGGUCCACCCACAUGUUUUAAGCCCAAGGGUCCAUUAGGAUUACUUGGAGACUACCGUAAAACCUUCCAUUCAUGCCUUUAUAAAAUAAAAAGGCUACAUAUUCUCUUUGGAGGCAUCUUGAAAAUUCUAUAACAUGUUGGAAGAUUCUAAGAUGGGAUUGGACAAAGACAAGAGUGUGCUCAACUGGAACAACGACCAACAAAGACCAAUUACUUAGAUAACGAUUCUUACCCUUCUGCUUUAAGGCUUUAAGGCGAACUGUAUGGAGGUAGGAAAGAAAGACGUCUCACCUUCUCUAGUGUUAGUGAGAGCAAUUUGAGUAUCCUUCAUGCACCUCCUUUUGUAGAUAGAAUCUUAAUGAGUGGAAACAAGCAACCUUACUAAGAAAGGUUCUUGUUGAGUAAGGCCGACUUUCAAGCCAACCCUUGGUAUAGGUUGUGCACUUGAGCGCAUGAUUGGUCCAUUGAAGAUUGUACAAGCCUAAUGCAGGCAUGCAUACAUCUUAUAUCAUGAUCAUGCCAAUGCCAUCAACAAGCCAAUUUCAUUUAUUUGUUCUAUUAAGUACUUCUUUCACGUCAUUAGCUUUAAAAAAUUGUCUCCCUUUACUGGUUCACCUCGAUGAAAAACUUAAGAAUUGCCUAGCUUCAAAAGGUCAUCAAUAAUAUUUGAUUCCAAGAAAUGAGCAACCAAUUCACCCAACAAAAUAAUUGUAGUCGAUAGUCAAAUACCACAUUUAUUUGACAUCAAGAACAAGCAUCCACAAAAAACUAUUAAUUCAAUAUUGAGCAAAAUUCAGCAAAUCGCGACAACACCAAACUGAAACCAGAUCUAAAUCACUGAAGGAGAGACUAGCAUACUAGAACAUUAAUUGUCCCGAACAACAUGUUUUAGCCCUAGUCUAUUUCCAUUAUUAUGUAUUGCCAUCUUGGAAGGGGCUCUUGACGUGAUAUUCAAUUAGAGGAAAUACGUGUAAGAACUGUUUGUCUUCUCAACAAGUUACUCAAAAAUAUCUCUCCAGAACUGAAGCUUUUAUGAAGACCAAAGACACCUAUGAGAUAUAUGAAGAUGUACUCUAUCCACCUAAAAAUAUAAUAAGAUAUGAGAUGUGCACACCAACGUGGUUAUUGAGAAAUAAGAAAUUUUGAAAUUCCAUUUUAGUAAAAAUGUAAGUCGUUCAAUCAAAUACAAAAAAUGACAUAAACAUCAAUUUACAUUAUUAAUGUCAUCCUCAAGAACUGUACUGGACACUAACUUGUGUUCCUGUUCUGUCCAAGAAGCCCCUUUUCGCCAUUCUACAUCUACAAAAAAUGAUAUAAACAUCAAUUCAAAGUAUUAAUUCUGGUUUUGCAUUUCAGGAUAAUUAGAUAAUGUACAUAUCUAGACUCGAUGACAUUGAUAUCUUCAAUUAAUACAUUACAAUGAUCCUUAAUAUCAUCCGUCAAUUUCCCAAGAAGUGCUUUUGCCAUUUCCUUCAAUAGAUUGUUGUUAUCCUUGUUGAUCGCAAGAGUAUUCUCAAAGAUUUUAUUCUCCUCCUUAGUCCAGAAGGAGUUAUUGCACGUUCGAUCAUUGUUCAUUUUCUUUUAGAUCUACACGGAAAGCUCAAACAUGAAAAAGGUAAGCUCUUCAAGAGGAUUCAUAAAAUGGAUGAAUGUAAAUAUAUGACCAAAAUUUAUCAUAAAUAUCGGGCAUCUAAAAUAAGAUUUUUUGUAACCCCUGACACUUAGAAAUUAGAAACAAUCGCAGCAACACACAAUCUUCUAAAUCAGUUAUGGAUACUAAGAGAGACUGUUUCUGAGACACUUGGCUCAAGUUACUUUUCUUAGUAUCCAUAACUGAUUUAAAAGAAUGUGUGUUGCUGCGAUUGUUUUUGAUUACUAAGUGAUAGAGGUUACAAAAAAUCUUAUUUUAGAUGCCCGAUAUUUAUGGUAGUUUUGAUCAUAUAUUGACACUCCUCCGUUUUCUUAAUCCUCUUGAAGAGCUUAUCUUUUUCAUGUUAAAGCUUUCGUUGUUGAUCUAAAAAAAAAUGAACACCGAUCGGACAUGCAAUAACUCCUUCUAGACUAAGGAGGAGGAUAAAAUCUUUGAGAAUACUCUUGCGACCAACGAGGGUAACAACAAUCUAUUGGAGAAAAUGACCAAAGCACUUCUUGGGAAAUCGGCGGAUGAUAUUAAGGAUCACUAUAAUAUCUUAAUUGAAGAUACCAAUGCCAUCGAGUCUGGAUAUGUCCCCAUUACCUAAUUAUCCUGAAAUAGCAAAACCAGAAUUCAAAAGCAUAUGUAGAAUGGUGAAAUGGGGGCUUCUUGGACCAAAUAGGAACACAUGUCAGUUUGCAGUACAGUUCUUGAGGACGACAUAAAUAAUCUGAAUUGAUGAUCAUUUCUUGUAUUUGAUUGCACGUCGUAUAUUUUUACUAAAACGGAAUUUCAAAAUUUCUUAUUUCUCAAUGACCACGUUGGUGUGCUUCUAAACAUCUCAUAUAUUAUUAUAUUUCUAGGUGGAUAGAGUACAUCUUCAUAGGUGUAUUUGGUCUUAACUGCAUCACCAAUAUAAUACAAAGUAUUAAUUCCAACUUCUGAGUUCCACAAUAUUUUCAGAUUAAAUAUGUAGGUUUUUACUUUUUAAAAUUGUCAAUGGUUAGGCUUGCUUUCAUGAGAAGUGGAUGAGUAUUUGUAAGACCAAAUAUUUAUAAGAUCAUAAUUUUGAAGUGGAUGAGUAUUUGUAACACCAAACCAUUGUCUUCUUCAACUUUCUCACAGGCUCCAUCUUUGAGCUUAACCCAUCUCCCAAAUUAAUCUUCCCUACUCCUCACCGACCAACAAUGCACUUUCACAGAGCCAAAACCCAGAACAAUUCGCUUUCGUUUAACCCCAUCUCGCCCGCCAACUGUUCGAUACAAUUCCUCAACCAACAAUUGUCCUUUGGAACACAAUUAUCAUUGGGUUUAUCUGUAAUAACAUGCCCCAUGAAGCAAUUUCAUUCUAUUCUCGAUUGAAACAUGUGGGUUCAUCCGUAUGUGAUCAGUAUACUUAUUCCUCUGUUAUCAAGGCUUGCGUGGAGACCAAACGGAUUCUUGUAGGUAAUGCUGUGCAUUUGCCACAUUCUGAGUUCUGGGAUUCGUCCUAGUAGGAUUGUUAGUAAUUCUUUGUUGAAUAUGUACUCUGCUACUUGUCUUACAUUGGAUAAUGGUUCUGAUUGUGAUUGUGAUUUUGUUGAAAGGGUGUUCAGAACUAUGCGUAAAAGAAAUGUUGUUGCAUGGAAUACUAUUUUUUCAUGGUAUGUGAAAAGGAAGAGGUUUUCGGAAGCAGUGAGGUGUUUUGUUAUGAUGAUGAGAUUAGGCAUUAAGCCAACUGUUGUUAGUUUUACUAAUGUUUUUCCUGCUGUAUCAGAAACAGGGGAUGUUAGAGUUGCUGAUUUUCUUUAUGGAUUUCUUGUGAAAUUGGGUAAUGCAUAUGUAAAUGACCUGUUUGUUGUUAGUGCUGCCAUUGUUAUGUAAGCUGAGCUUGGCUGUGUUGAUUUGGCGACCAGAAUAUUUGAGAAUACUUGUGAAACAAAUACAGAGAUCUGGAACUCUAUGAUUAGCGGGUACAUUCAGAACAAUUUUCCUUUUAAAGCAGUUGAUCUCUUUCUUGAAGCUGUAGAAGCAGAGGAUGCUGUUUCUACUGAUGAUGUGACAUUUGUAUCUGCUCUUAUGGCAGCUUCACAGUUGCAGCAUUUGGAGUUUGCCCAACAGCUACAUGCAUGUCUGAUAAUGAAAUGCAGGGUUUCACAGGUUAUUUCGCUUAAUGCUGUGAGCCACAUAUUCUAGGUGUAACCAUAUUGGCAAUUCACUUUAAGUUUUUAAUGGAAUGAAGGAAAGAUAUAUUGUGUCAUGGAACACCGUGGUGUCUGCUUUGGUACAGAACGAACUGGAUAACGAGGCUUUGAUGCUUGUAUAUGAGAUGAAAAAGCUAUGGGUCGCAAUUGAUGAUAUAACAAUUACCAUCCUGCUUUCUGCGGCAUCAAAUAUUAGGGACAGGGAAAUUGGUAAACAGACCCAUGCUUAUCUUCUGAGGCACAAUAUUCAAUUUGAAGGGAUGGAGAGUUACCUGAUAGUCAUGUAUGCCAAAUCUAAUAUGAUUAGAGAAGAACGAGCAAUAUUCCAGUCGAACUUCACAUAUGAUAAAGAUCAAGUCACGUGGAAUGCUAUGAUUGCUGGAAACACUCAGAAUGGAUUAAUUGAACAAUCCUUUGUUGUCUUCAAGGAGAUGCUUGAGCAGAAUGUGAAGCCAAAUGCUGUGACCUUAGCAUCAAUCCUCCCAUCAUGCAGCCAGUCAGGAAGUAUAGCAAUAGGCAAGCAGCUACAUUGUUUUGCAAUUCGCUAAUUGUUUGAGAACAAUGUUUAUGUUAUUUCUGCUUUGGUAGACAUGUAUUCAAAAUCAGGAAUCAUUGAUUAUGCUGAAAGUGUUUUCUAAAAUCUCUUGAGAAGAACUCUGUGACAUAUACAAAUAUGAGUUUGGGAUAUGGCCUUCAUGGGAUGCGUAGGAAGCUCUAAAACUGUUCUACUCUUUGCGGCAGAAUGGUUUAGAACCAGAUGCUGUUACCUUUGUAGCAGUCCUGUCUACUUGCAGCUACACCAGAUUGGUUGAUUCAG